This is a long non-coding RNA of Mytilus californianus (California mussel), 254 nucleotides long. RefSeq lists it as uncharacterized. The record is from RefSeq and is a predicted model, not a curated record. The transcript has 3 exons. NCBI's taxonomy places the organism in Eukaryota, Metazoa, Mollusca, Bivalvia, Mytilida, Mytilidae.
AGCUAGUUAUAAAAUUCAGACGUUGUUUAAAUAUCAUUCAUUUACGAUAACCAGGUUAGACAAAAAUGUGGCCGGUUGUGAUUUUUAUAUUUUGUGUAAUUCAUUAUGCUCAUUCAUCAAUCAAUCCACCUUGUCCAACGAUAAAACAGACAGGACAAUGUCUCGGUUUACCCAAAACCGAUAAAUGUCAGACAGAUAGUAACUGUGGACACCACCGGAUGUGCUGCCCAAAAGAAUGUGGUAAAGAAUGUGUA